This 94-nucleotide transfer RNA is filed under the name Micromonospora sp. NBRC 101691. RNAcentral describes it as "tRNA-Gly". The record is from RNAcentral. Lineage: Bacteria; Bacillati; Actinomycetota; Actinomycetes; Micromonosporales; Micromonosporaceae.
CCAUCUUUACCCAGGCCGGGGUGCCGCCGCUCGCCGGGCGGCCUCCUGGUCGGCAAGCAGGCUGGGCGGCCGGCUCAGUAGCCGACGAGACGGU